GGACUACAGGGGUUUCUAAUCCCGUUCGCUCCCCUGGCUUUCGCGUCUCAGCGUCAGCAGGCGUCCAGGGCCGCGCUUUCGCCACGGGCGUUCCUUCCGAUCUCAACGCAUUUCACCGCUCCACCGGAAGUUCCCGGCCCCCCUACGCCCCUCGAGGCCCGCCGUCUCGGCGCCCGUUCCCCGGUUGAGCCGGGGGAUUUCAGCGGCCGACGUUCGGGCCCGCCUACACGCGCUUUAAGCCCAGUGAUUCCGAAUAACGUUCGCACGGUUCGUCUUACCGCGGCUGCUGGCAC
Molecule: ribosomal RNA, 293 nt
Filed under: uncultured Planctomycetota bacterium
Lineage: Bacteria; Pseudomonadati; Planctomycetota
Description: uncultured planctomycete partial 16S ribosomal RNA
Source: RNAcentral